GUCUACGGCCAUGCCAUUCUGAACAUGCCCAAUCUCAUCUGAUCUCGGAAACUAAGCAGGAUCAUGCCUGGUUAGUACUUGGAUGGGAGACCACCUAGGAAGACGGGGUGCUGUAGGCA
This 119-nucleotide ribosomal RNA is filed under the name Pteropus alecto (black flying fox). The record is from RNAcentral. Lineage: Eukaryota; Metazoa; Chordata; Mammalia; Chiroptera; Pteropodidae.